This is a long non-coding RNA of Populus trichocarpa (black cottonwood), 1434 nucleotides long. RefSeq lists it as uncharacterized. The record is from RefSeq and is a predicted model, not a curated record. Lineage: Eukaryota; Viridiplantae; Streptophyta; Magnoliopsida; Malpighiales; Salicaceae. The transcript has 2 exons.
CACAUGUUAUAAUAUCCCCUGGCACGCUGCCCUCCGUCCCAAUUAUCAAGCCUAAUCGCCACCACACACGUUCAUGUACAGUGACCACAACUUAGCAUUCUUGCCAGCACGCAUUUAAUGAUCGCAACAGCUUCAAAACAAGCCAAACGGAAUCAAGAUCAAGCGAAACCAGUCUUGGCUCCUAGUAAUCACUUUACUAUUUUUAAUUUUUUUUACUAAUUUCUCAAUGAUUUCACAGGAUCAAAACAAGCUCUUUUCUGAUUUUAUUUGCCUACGCAAGGAGAUUUCUACUGAAUUGCCGAUUCCUUUUUUUCCCUUCUCCAACAUUGCACAAGAACAAAUCCUAUACAAACCCUUGGCAAAAUCCUCAAUAACCCCAACCAAAUCAUGGAAUGGGUCCAGAGUUGAAGCCAAUACCAAUUCCGAAAACUUGCUAGGAUUACAGGUUCGAAAUCGUAUCAAUAACGGGACCAUCCGCCCCUCCUCCUUCCCCUUCGUCGGAGAACACCAUGUUAAGCUCCAACAUGUCUCCCCUGACAUUUGCUCCCUCGCAGCUGAGGAUUUGAUGAGUGAGAAUCUUUUUUCGUCUAUCUAGGAAACAGAGGAGAAAAACAACCAUGUUUGAAGAUUUGAUGUGGUAGUGAUCUUGCAAUUCCUGUUCUUUCUCCCGAAACAAUAAUUGAUAAAUCUCCACUCGUGCAUCACACUGAAAUCAUUACCAGGUUUUGGGAUUAUUCAUCUCUUCAAUUUUCUUCCCUUUUGCCUUCUUUUAAGCGAGGAGAGGACCCCCUUUAUUCCUAAAGUCACGACAAAUUUUGGAAAAGAAAAAAACCACGCACGAGCACACACAGUGUUAAAAAAUAAUUGGCCCGGAACGUAAAUAAAUCUUGACUUCAGUAGUCGAUCGUUCAAGCUCAACGAGUGAUGACUUCACCUACACAUCGAUCACAGAAAUGCAAAUGGGCCAAACUACGUAUUACGUUUUUUUUCUUCUUCUAUAAAUUACAAUUUUCUAUCCUGUACGAUCAACCCAGAUCUUGAACUUGAAUAAAAAUACUAAAAUACUCUUGGUGUAUAAUAUAUAAAAAAAACACCAAUAAAUGACUAGUCUUGUUAAGUGUAUGCUACUGGUCUUAGAGUUUCUAGCAUUUUUUGUUCCCUCGUGUCAAGUCUUGUUAAGUUACAAAAUUUAUGCACACCUGGAUCAGGAAACUUGAUUCUGGACAUAAUCUCUGCGUGGGAGAGAGAUGAGAAAAGAUUACUAUCUUCAAUUCUUCGAAACAGUAGCAUCAAGGGGAAGGUUUAUGUUCAUUUCUAUUAAUGGGGUUUAUUUUAUUUUCACAUGGGUUUCUAUUGUUGGCUUUGAUCUGUAGCGAGGUUUGGCUAGAAGUAGUGAAUUUGUGAUCGAUAUCUACGCUUUCUUUCCUUCUUUUA